AUACAGUGAUGUGGAGACGGAGCAGUGACACUGCCGCGCCCUGACGGAAUAGGGCGUUUAAGUGCGUAGGCUAUGAGGAAGGCAGGCAAAUCCACCUUCCGAGCUGAACCAUGAAAGUACAGGUAAUCCUUCGGGAUAACUUGAGUGCAGGUAAUCAUACUUCCGAGAAAAUCCGCUAAACUUAAUGUAUAUGCGACCCGUACCGCAAACGGACACACGUGGUCGGGUAGAAUAUACUAAGGCGUUGAGAGAUUCAUGGUUANNNNNNNNNNACGGUCCUAAGGUAGCGAAAUUCCUUGUCGGGUAAGUUCCGACCUGCACGAAUGGUGUAAUGAUCCGGACGCUGUCUCAACCAUGAUCUCAGUGAAAUUGUAGUAUCGGUGAAGAUGCCGAUUACCCGCGAUGGGACGAAAAGACCCCGUGAACCUUUACUACAGCUUAGCAUUGACCUUGGUCAUCCGAUGUGUAGGAUAGGCCGGAGGCUUUGAAGCGGGUGCGCCAGCAUUCGUGGAGCCAUCCUUGAAAUACGGCCCUUUGGCUGUCUGAGGUCUAACGCGCAGUUUGCGCGGACACUGCUUGGUGGGUAGUUUGACUGGGGUGGUCGCCUCCAAAAGCGUAACGGAGGCUUCCAAAGGUGCCCUCGGGCCGAUUGGUAACCGGCCUUAUAGAGUGCAAUGGCAUAAGGGCGCUUGACUGGGAGGCAGACAUGCCGAGCAGGCAGGAAACUGGGGCAUAGUGAUCCGGCGGACGUGUAUGGAAACUCCGUCGCUCAAAGGAUAAAAGGUACUCCGGGGAU
RNAcentral lists this ribosomal RNA (796 nucleotides) under Rothia mucilaginosa. Its description in RNAcentral is "partial 23S ribosomal RNA". It matches the Rfam family "Bacterial large subunit ribosomal RNA", at positions 1451 to 2475 of the family's 2925-position model. The record is from RNAcentral. Lineage: Bacteria; Bacillati; Actinomycetota; Actinomycetes; Micrococcales; Micrococcaceae.